This 1004-nucleotide long non-coding RNA is filed under the name Homo sapiens (human). RNAcentral describes it as "HSALNT0150925". The record is from RNAcentral. Lineage: Eukaryota; Metazoa; Chordata; Mammalia; Primates; Hominidae.
UGACUGAGGCUGGAUUCAAACUCUAGCAGUUGGACUCCAGAGCUUGUGCCCUCUAUCAUAUUCCACAGGACACACCAAGUUUCUGGACACCUUUUCGAAAUUCUUCUUACUAUAACUCCUCUCGCUCCCUCUCCUCUUCUUCCUCUCUGUCAUCCUCCUCCUUUUUCUCUUCUGCCUUCCUCUCUUUACAUGGAUCCUGCCCAGAGAUUCAGGUUCUAUUUUGUAAGUGGUACAUCAUCCAAUUUUUAUUUCCUAUCACAGAGCUAAUGUAUUCCAACCAGUCCUUUUUCCAAUAGUUGCUAAUCCAGCGAAAUCAGUAUCAGUCACCAAAGGAAAUUCAAAUAGAGGGAACUGCUCCAUCUAGAGUUUCAUUUUGCAACUAAGUUAUUUGUUGUUUCCAUUUAGUGCUCUUCCUCUCUUCUUCCCUUUCCAAGAUGAAUUUGCCUUGUCUAAACAUUAGGCUUUCUAGUCCAGGUUAAGCCAAAAAUAAAUCAGUCUAUGGUGGCAUGUUCAGUGAGUGGUUUCCUGUAGAUAUCUGAGGGCAGCACAUUCCUUUUCACCUUCUCUUUUCUAAACAAAUACAUCUCGAUUUCAAUCUUUUUUCCUAGGGAAAUACUGUUUCCUUUUUCUUCCCAUACUCUGAGCUCUUUUUUUCUCUUUGUUUUAUGCAUUUAGCUGCUUCAAUUUCUGUCCUGCUGCCUCAAAAGGUGACACAGAGGCAGCUGAAGUCCAGGGGUCAGAGAUUCUCCGAUCUUCACCUUCAUGGAGCUCACAGUCUAGUGGGGAGACCAGGCAGAAGUCAGAUGAUCAUGUGAGAUCAUGUAAGUGCCCUGUGAAGCAUUCCAUGAAGAAUUCAUGAGCUGGCUGAUGGUGCAAAGGAGUUUACAACAUAGGAAUUUGGCUUAAGCAGGAAGCAGAGGUUCUUCCUCAAGUGCUCCUGAGGAACUGAUAUAAGUUAAGAGCUUAGAGGUGAGGAGAAGAUGAGUUGGUAAAGCGAAGAGGGA